AUGAGUGCAAUUCAAGUUCGGGAUAUCUUGAAAAAAUAUUGGGAUGCUUCAGGUCAGCAUAUAAACACAGAUAAGUCCUCAAUUUACUUCAGCAAAGGGGUCCCAGAGGCCCUAAGGAAUGAAGUCAAGGAUGUGCUUGGUGUACAUAAUGAAUCUUUGUCAGAGAAAUACCCAGGCUUACCCAUAGAUGUUGGGAAGUCAAAAGAAGGGUGCUUCAGAUAUUUGAAGGAUAGAAUCUGGAAGCAUGUUCAAGGAUGGAUGGAGAAGUGUAUUUCUGCAGGUGGGAAAGAGCAGUUGAUUAAGUCAGUUGCACAAUCUAUACGGACAUAUUCCAUGGCAUGUUUCAAAUUACCAAGGGGUCUGUGUGAGCACAUUAAUGGUCUCUUGCAAAAAAUUUGGUGGGGUAAGGUGAACGGAAGACGGCAUGGGUCUUGUGGAAGACUAUGUGCAAGCCCAAGUUUAGGGGGGAGGGGGUGGGCUUCCGGGACAUUGAACUUUUUAAUCUUGCUCUGUUGGCUCGACAAGCUUGGAGGCUAUUAUAGACUCGGAAUCUCUAGGCGCUCGCAUUCUGAAGAAAAGAUAUUAUCCACAAUGUGA
Molecule: ribosomal RNA, 597 nt
Filed under: Triticum aestivum (bread wheat)
Lineage: Eukaryota; Viridiplantae; Streptophyta; Magnoliopsida; Poales; Poaceae
Description: partial small subunit ribosomal RNA
Source: RNAcentral